AUGAAAAGGAUGUUGGCU
RNAcentral lists this non-coding RNA (18 nucleotides) under Rattus norvegicus (Norway rat). The record is from RNAcentral. Lineage: Eukaryota; Metazoa; Chordata; Mammalia; Rodentia; Muridae.